Bombyx mori (domestic silkworm) is the source of this 1201-nucleotide long non-coding RNA. RefSeq lists it as uncharacterized. Lineage: Eukaryota; Metazoa; Arthropoda; Insecta; Lepidoptera; Bombycidae. The transcript has 2 exons. The record is from RefSeq and is a predicted model, not a curated record.
GUCGAUACUGUCGAGUUCGUCGGCAAACGCUGGCUGCUCUACACUGUACUUCUUGGCUAGAAGAAUUGGCAUAUCGCUAAGGGUCUUUUGUAUGCGCAUUUCACUAUUGCUUUCGGCUGAAAAGUAAAUUUAUAAUCAUUAAAAAAAAAAAACUUUUUUUUUGUGUCUUUUGUAGGUAACGGAAUCUUUGAGCGUCAUUUUCAACGACUUCAAGGAAACGGUAUUGUUACAUGACAAAUAAAAAAAAAAACAUAACAUAUUAUGAAAGGUAUAUUUAUUUACCUAAGAUUCGGUAUGCGAUUAUAGCAUCUUCAAUGGCGGUAGCAAAUAACUCUGAAUAAAGAUAUUUUAAGCUGAAACAAAGGUAAUAGUUUUAUUUUAUUUUCCAUUUCUUUCCAUUUAUUUUACAUUAAUUAUUCUAAAACAUGUGUUUUAUUUCAAUUAGGCAGAGACGCUGGACAUAAAAAUCCGAAUCCAACCAAGUACCUAGGAAUAUCGUCUUAAGCCAUCUAAUGCGUAAAAUGAUUUUAGAGCUAGCCAUAAAAUUCGCGGGGUAAAGUCAGUCAGACUCCGAGAAUAAAAUCAAUAUACAACAUGGAUAAAAACAAAACGUUAACUAACCAAUAUUUAUUUUGACCGGCUGUCGUUUUUGGUUUGAUCUGAAAUUGCAAAGUUUUAAAGCCACGCACACAUGACAAACAUUUCGGUACCAAAUCGUGUACGGUGGGCAGAGCAGUGCUGGCAAGUUGAAUGCCCUUUUUGAGCAAUUUAUCACCAAAUAGAAUGCAGGGAAAAUACCACGAUGGGGCGAAGAUCUUCGCACAGCUGGUGUUUUGCUCGGAAGAAGAACGGUCCGAAUGUUCUUUCUUGUUCGGAACUUAAACCGGUUUAUGUCUAUGGCUUAUAUUUAUAUUCAUGAAAUUGUCGCUAGUCCAGUUCUGGUUUGUCCGGAUUUCUUCUCUUAUAGAUACCACUUUCAUAAAGACUACAAACCUAUUAUCAAUAAAUAUAUCAUAAAUAUUCUGUUUUCGAAUUUGCCGUAGGAACAAAGACAGAAUUCACAAAAUACAUAAUUUACAUUUAAUGCCUUUGUACAUAAUUUUCCUAUUACUCUGUACUAUGUCUUCCUUUUUGUGUGUACAUAAAUAAAUAAAUAAAUAAGUAAAUAAAAAAAAUAAAAAAUAAUAAACUACGAACCAGA